RNAcentral lists this ribosomal RNA (492 nucleotides) under uncultured bacterium. RNAcentral describes it as "partial 16S ribosomal RNA". It matches the Rfam family "Bacterial small subunit ribosomal RNA", at positions 29 to 507 of the family's 1533-position model. The record is from RNAcentral.
AGUGAACGCUGGCGGUAGGCCUAACACAUGCAAGUCGAACGGCAGCACAGUAAGAGCUUGCUCUUACGGGUGGCGAGUGGCGGACGGGUGAGGAAUACAUCGGAAUCUACUUUUUCGUGGGGGAUAACGUAGGGAAACUUACGCUAAUACCGCAUACGACCUACGGGUGAAAGCAGGGGAUCUUCGGACCUUGCGCGAUUGAAUGAGCCGAUGUCGGAUUAGCUAGUUAGCGGGGUAAAGGCCCACCAAGGCGACGAUCCGUAGCUGGUCUGAGAGGAUGAUCAGCCACACUGGAACUGAGACACGGUCCAGACUCCUACGGGAGGCAGCAGUGGGGAAUAUUGGACAAUGGGCGCAAGCCUGAUCCAGCCAUACCACGUGGGUGAAGAAGGCCUUCGGGUUGUAAAGCCCUUUUGUUGGGAAAGAAAAGCAGCAGGUUAAUACCCCGCUGUUCUGACGGUACCCAAAGAAUAAGCACCGGCUAACUUCGUG